RNAcentral lists this transfer RNA (75 nucleotides) under Mesorhizobium sp. J8. Its description in RNAcentral is "tRNA-Gln". It matches the Rfam family "tRNA". From Rfam's summary of the family: Transfer RNA (tRNA) molecules are approximately 80 nucleotides in length. Their secondary structure includes four short double-helical elements and three loops (D, anti-codon, and T loops). Further hydrogen bonds mediate the characteristic L-shaped molecular structure. tRNAs have two regions of fundamental functional importance: the anti-codon, which is responsible for specific mRNA codon recognition, and the 3' end, to which the tRNAs corresponding amino acid is attached (by aminoacyl-tRNA synthetases). tRNAs cope with the degeneracy of the genetic code in two manners: having more than one tRNA (with a specific anti-codon) for a particular amino acid; and 'wobble' base-pairing, i.e. permitting non-standard base-pairing at the 3rd anti-codon position. Lineage: Bacteria; Pseudomonadati; Pseudomonadota; Alphaproteobacteria; Hyphomicrobiales; Phyllobacteriaceae. The record is from RNAcentral.
UGGAGCGUCGCCAAGCGGUAAGGCAUCGGUUUUUGGUACCGAUAUUCCCAGGUUCGAACCCUGGCGCCGCAGCCA